This 601-nucleotide ribosomal RNA is filed under the name Micromonospora sp. I08A-00411. RNAcentral's name for it is "bacterial SSU rRNA". It matches the Rfam family "Bacterial small subunit ribosomal RNA", at positions 85 to 701 of the family's 1533-position model. Lineage: Bacteria; Bacillati; Actinomycetota; Actinomycetes; Micromonosporales; Micromonosporaceae. The record is from RNAcentral.
GGGUACUCGAGCGGCGAACGGGUGAGUAACACGUGAGCAACCUGCCCCAAGCUUUGGGAUAACCCUCGGAAACGGGGGCUAAUACCGAAUAGGACUGCUGGCCGCAUGGCUGGUGGUGGAAAGUUUUUCGGCUUGGGAUGGGCUCGCGGCCUAUCAGCUUGUUGGUGGGGUGAUGGCCUACCAAGGCGACGACGGGUAGCCGGCCUGAGAGGGCGACCGGCCACACUGGGACUGAGACACGGCCCAGACUCCUACGGGAGGCAGCAGUGGGGAAUAUUGCACAAUGGGCGGAAGCCUGAUGCAGCGACGCCGCGUGAGGGAUGACGGCCUUCGGGUUGUAAACCUCUUUCAGCAGGGACGAAGCGAGAGUGACGGUACCUGCAGAAGAAGCACCGGCCAACUACGUGCCAGCAGCCGCGGUAAGACGUAGGGUGCGAGCGUUGUCCGGAUUUAUUGGGCGUAAAGAGCUCGUAGGCGGCUUGUCGCGUCGACCGUGAAAACUUGGGGCUCAACCCCAAGCCUGCGGUCGAUACGGGCAGGCUAGAGUUCGGUAGGGGAGACUGGAAUUCCUGGUGUAGCGGUGAAAUGCGCAGAUAUCAGG